GACGAAGGCAUGUAACCUCUGCGCACGGACGGAAGUGUGCGUUAAAGGCCGUAGGUAUAAGACGAGUAGGUAAAUCCGCUUGUUUUGCUGAAAGCUGAUAGUACAGCAACCCUUCGGGGGCGCUGAUAAUGAGGCCAAAUAUACUUCCAAGAAAACCCUCUAAGCGUUUACACUACAGCCACCCGUACCGCAAACCGACACAGGUAGUCAAGUGGAG
Molecule: ribosomal RNA, 217 nt
Filed under: Aplanochytrium stocchinoi
Lineage: Eukaryota; Bigyra; Thraustochytrida; Thraustochytriidae
Description: partial Bacterial large subunit ribosomal RNA
Rfam family: Bacterial large subunit ribosomal RNA
Source: RNAcentral